Molecule: ribosomal RNA, 466 nt
Filed under: uncultured bacterium
Lineage: Bacteria
Description: bacterial SSU rRNA
Rfam family: Bacterial small subunit ribosomal RNA
Source: RNAcentral
AUUAACGCUGGCGGCGUGCCUAAUACAUGCAAGUCGAAUGGUUAGCUUGCUAACCAUGGCGAACGGGUGAGGUAACACGUAGGCAACCUGUCUAAGAGACGAGGAUAACCAUUGGAAACGAUGGAUAAUACUGGAUAAGAUAUUGGGAGGCAUCUUCUGAUAUUUAAAGAUUUAUCGCUAAUAGAGGGGCCUGCGGCGCAUUAGCUAGUUGGUGAGGUAACGGCCCACCAAGGCGAUGAUGCGUAGCCGGACUGAGAGGUUGAACGGCCACAAUGGGACUGAGAACGGCCCAUACUCCUACGGGAGGCAGCAGUAGGGAAUUUUCGGCAAUGGACGAAAGUCUGAACCCGAGCAACGCCGCGUGAACGAAGAAGUAUUUCGGUAUGUAAAGUUCUUUUAUUUGGGAAGAAAAUACAUUGACUGUACCAAAUGAAUAAGCUCCGGCUAACUACGUGCCAGCCGCUGC